RNAcentral lists this ribosomal RNA (1430 nucleotides) under Scinax cretatus. RNAcentral describes it as "partial 16S large subunit ribosomal RNA". It matches the Rfam family "Bacterial large subunit ribosomal RNA", at positions 133 to 2597 of the family's 2925-position model. Lineage: Eukaryota; Metazoa; Chordata; Amphibia; Anura; Hylidae. The record is from RNAcentral.
GCUAAAAAUCUAGCCCUAACAAACCCCAAUGUUACCAUCACAUUUUACCCUACAAACUAAAACAUUUCACCAUUCUAGUAAAGGAGAUUGAAAAACUUAUUGGAGCAAUAAUUAUAGUACCGCAAGGGAAAGAUGAAAUAACAAUGAAAACCCCUAAAGCAAAAAAAAGUAGAGUUUCCCCCUCGUACCUUUUGCAUCAUGGUUCAACUAGUCCAACCAAGCAAAAAGAAUUACAGUUUGACCCCCCGAAACUAAGCGAGCUACUUCGAGGCAGCUUUUUGAGCCAACCCGUCUCUGUUGCAAAAGAGUGGGAUGACCUCCAAGUAGCGGUGAUAGACCUAACGAGCUUAGUGAUAGCUGGUUACUCAAGAAAAGGAUUUUAGUCCAACUUAAAGCUUAUCCCACUUCGCUAAAAUUUUUUCUAAGCUUUAGAGUAAUUCAAAUAAGGUACAGCCUAUUUGAACUAGGAAACAACCUAAACCGACGGGUUCAAACUACCAUCCUACAUCCUCCCCCAGUUGGCCUAAAAGCAGCCACCUAUUAAAAAGCGUCACAGCUUAAUCUGGUUGAUAAAUUUAAUUCCCUUAAUCAUUUUCAACCCUCCCCCACUACUGAGUAAUUCUAUACCCCUAUAGAAGAUUUCCUGUUGAAACUAGUAACAAGAAGAAAGACCUUCUCUUUAAUGCAAGCAUAAGUCAGAAAGGACAAACCACUGACAAUUAACGUCUAUGAGUUAAAAUUAGCAACUUCUACAAGAAAAACCUACUUCCAUUAUACGUUAACCUAACACUAGAGCACUUCAAGAAAGAUUAAAAGAAAAAGAAGGAACUCGGCAAACAUUAACCCCGCCUGUUUACCAAAAACAUCGCCUCUUGCAAAUAAUAAGAGGUCCAGCCUGCCCAGUGACUCAUGUUCAACGGCCGCGGUAUCCUGACCGUGCGAAGGUAGCGUAAUCACUUGUUCUUUAAAUGGGGACUAGUAUGAAUGGCAUCACGAGGGUUAUACUGUCUCCUUUUUCCAAUCAGUGAAACUAAUCUCCCCGUGAAGAAGCGGGGAUGAAACUAUAAGACGAGAAGACCCUAUGGAGCUUUAAACCUACCUUCAGGUGCCGGAAACACCUACACUACUAACAAUAACCCAAGCACCAUGAGGCUAAGUUUUAGGUUGGGGUGACCGCGGAGUACAAAAAAACCUCCACGUUGAACUAGGCCUCAAAACCUUGAACCAAGGACUACAAUCCUACAUAUCAAAAAAAUUUUCAUCUAUUGACCCAUGAAUUUGAGCAACGAACCAAGUUACCCUAGGGAUAACAGCGCAAUCUACUUCAAGAGUUCUUAUCGACAAGUGGGUUUACGACCUCGAUGUUGGAUCAGGGUAUCCCAGUGGUGCAGCCGCUACUAAUGGUUCGUUUGUUCAACGAUUAAAACCCU